RNAcentral lists this long non-coding RNA (756 nucleotides) under Parus major (Great Tit). Its description in RNAcentral is "lncRNA (ENSPMJG00000015467.1)". Lineage: Eukaryota; Metazoa; Chordata; Aves; Passeriformes; Paridae. The record is from RNAcentral.
GAUUGUCUUUAAGGAAGGGUGAUGGAAAUUCAGUACUAUUGAGGGAAGAGACCAUCUGUUUCACAUCUCAUUAAGAACUAUAUCCUGUUUCUGCUCUGCAACCCAGCAAGGCCUGAAAACAAGGAGCUAUGUUUAAACAAUACUUCCUCAGUUAAACUACAGUGUAUAUAAAUUGAACUCAGUUUUGCUCCAAAUGACCCACUUUUUCUGCCCACAGAAGUUCUUCAAAAGACCGCAGUUACUUGAAAUGCUUCAAGAAAAGUGAUUUCUUUCAUAAAGUGACUGAGAUGACUUGAAGUGCCAGAGUUUUGCUCAGAGUGAUGACAGCCAGCAAGGUCUGCUGGGACAGCGCUCGGCCGCGGAGCGGGCUCGGCACUCACCGCCUGCUGGGAGCACAAAGGCUCAGGGUUACCACUUAAACAGCGGCAUUUUCUCUCCAUCGUUCCUACACACACGGGGAUUUGCAGAGCUGUUGCUGAACAAUAGGUCUCAGGAUAUAAAAGACGUGCUCGGAAGUUACCCCUUUUUAAGCACGUUAAGGUAUGUGGUGGGUAGGGUGUCUGUAUGUGCAAGCAUAUGUGAGCAAGAGACGGGUGUUUGUUUGAGUAAGAAUCCCAAAAAUAAACACAUAACACUAGAGAAGUUUUUCACUGUUUAAGCAGAGUGUUAUCUGAUAUUUCAUACAGUGGUUAUUUUCUGGCCUUGCCAUAAAACCAGCAGGAUGAGUGAGAAAAAACCUCUGCCUUUUUUUUUUUU